ACCCACCAAGUUACCAUUUCUUCAUUCCACCCUUUCAUUCUGCCUAAACUUUGAUUUCUUCAGCUGCAAGGAAGGCGAUCAUGGCGUUGGUUAAGGCGGAGAUGGUGACGGGACAACCAAGGUCUUUCGGUUUGUCAUGUAGGUCGGUAUGGAACGUGAGGAUCGCCGCCUCUCGAGAGCUUAGCCGGAUAAAUCUUUGAGUUCAUGUCUAUGUGUUCACUUAGGCAAGUCUGAAGCUUGGCUUUUACUUAAUUAACACACUUUUUUUUUUUGGUUUUCAUUUUUGUUCUUGUCAUGGAAAGAAAUUUGAAGGGAUUACAAUAAAAAGUUCGGGAAUUUCAUCUUAAUUUCUAAAUGUUCCUUGCUUAUUAAUGCUUUUAUUAUCUAUAAUUAUAUCGUAUAGUCGACGGAUUAUGCAUUAAAGACAUAAUAUAUGCAAGCUAAGA
RNAcentral lists this long non-coding RNA (446 nucleotides) under Helianthus annuus (common sunflower). RNAcentral describes it as "sRNA HanXRQr2_Chr05g0214521". Lineage: Eukaryota; Viridiplantae; Streptophyta; Magnoliopsida; Asterales; Asteraceae. The record is from RNAcentral.